UACAGAGGGUGCAAGCGUUAAUCGGAAUUACUGGGCGUAAAGCGUGCGCAGUCGGCUUUUUAAGUCGGGUGUGAAAUCCCCGGGCUCAACCUGGGAAUUGCAUUCGAUACUGGAUAGCUAGAGUUCGGCAGAGGGAAGUGGAAUUUCUGGUGUAGCGGUGAAAUGCGUAGAUAUCAGAAGGAACAUCAGUGGCGAAAGCGACUUCCUGGACCAGAACUGACGAUCAGGCACGAAAGCGUGGGGAGCAAACAGG
RNAcentral lists this ribosomal RNA (253 nucleotides) under uncultured bacterium. RNAcentral describes it as "partial 16S ribosomal RNA". It matches the Rfam family "Bacterial small subunit ribosomal RNA", at positions 524 to 776 of the family's 1533-position model. The record is from RNAcentral.